Molecule: ribosomal RNA, 451 nt
Filed under: uncultured organism
Description: partial 16S ribosomal RNA
Rfam family: Bacterial small subunit ribosomal RNA
Source: RNAcentral
CGUACACUCCUACGGGAGGCAGCAGUGGGGAAUAUUGGACAAUGGGCGCAAGCCUGAUCCAGCCAUGCCGCGUGAGUGAUGAAGGCCCUAGGGUUGUAAAGCUCUUUCACCGGUGAAGAUAAUGACGGUAACCGGAGAAGAAGCCCCGGCUAACUUCGUGCCAGCAGCCGCGGUAAUACGAAGGGGGCUAGCGUUGUUCGGAUUUACUGGGCGUAAAGCGCACGUAGGCGGACUAUUAAGUCAGGGGUGAAAUCCCGGGGCUCAACCCCGGAACUGCCUUUGAUACUGGUAGUCUUGAGUUCGAGAGAGGUGAGUGGAAUUCCGAGUGUAGAGGUGAAAUUCGUAGAUAUUCGGGGGAACACCAGUGGCGAAGGCGGCUCACUGGCUCGAUACUGACGCUGAGGUGCGAAAGCGUGGGGAGCAAACAGGAUUAGAUACCCGUGUAGUCCCA